CAUAUAUAUAUAUAUAUAUAUAUAUAUAUAUAUAUAUAUAUAUAUAUAUACACACACACACACACACACAACAAGGGUCUUAAAAAAUUCAAAUGUGCUUUUAUGCUCGAAUAUCGAAGAUAAUUUUUUCUUUUAUAAAUUUAAAAAUAAAAUUCGAAUACCCAGUUGACUAGAACUUCUACAUGUUCUAAUAAUUCCAGUAAUUCUAAAUAACACUAAUAGUGAUUUUACUAGAUAAUAGAUGUUACGUUAAUUGAUAUCAUCAAAAUUAUAGUAUCGUCAUAAAUAUAUCAACAAUUGCAUUGUCGCUGUAAAUUUGUUUAAAUUUAUAUAUCUUAGCAAUGUUAAGUAAAACAACAAAAGCCUUAUAAAGAGGCAGGUGAAAAGAAUGAAACGUCAUUUUAAAAUAUUUUAUUCGUACAUAUUCCGAAAGACCUUUUUAUUCUGAAUAAGUUUAGCUGACAACAUUUAUCAGAAUAAAGCGCACAUCAAAAGUUACAGAAAUACAGAAUUUCGCACACGCAUUUCCAUUUAAAAUACACAUUUGUUACGAGAUAUUAUUGUUUGUUGAUAUUAUUUGUACCUCUCAAAAUCAUUUCGUCAAACACGAUAACAGAAUAUAAACGAUCAAAUAUAAGGUCAUUUCGAGCAGACAUACGAUUCGUGACGGUAUGGAGCAAAAUAUUCAACAAACGCGCAAAUAAAAAUAAUUUCAAUAAUAUUUAUUAAAAGAGAAAUAUAAUCGACGUCUUCAUUGGAAUUUAUUUAGUUAUUGGAUUGAAGUAAAAUUGUCGUAUAGAUUACUACACUCGCUUGAUGUGUGCAUUAUUUCGAAUAAUAAUAAAAAGAAUAAUAAUAAUUCAAGACGUAACCAUUUAUAAUAAAAAUGGACUUUCGGAAUGUGUACGAAUUAAUCUAUCAUUCAAUUUAAUAUUAGUAAAUAGUAUCUCGUUUCUCUCAUUUUAGAAGACAUUUGGAAUUUUGUUAGAUAUUGAUAAAAUAAAUGUGAAAUCAAAUUAUACUAAUGUAGCGAAUCGAUAUAUGAAUAAUUAUUUGUUAAAGAGAGUUAGCGAGUCAGUCAUAUAACAGUAUAACAUCAAUUGGAGUUUUGUUUAUCGUGAAAUUUGAAAUUUUUAAAAUGAUAUAAAAGAAAUUAAUGUACAAAUAUCAUAAUAUGCAAAUAUCAUAUCUAAUGCUAUGUUGUAAGAGAGAUCUUUACAAGAGAGAUGGUUUAUCGAGAAAUUUAUAUUAAUUGGAAUGUUAGAACACUGGAAUACUUGGCCGUAAAGGUAGACGAAUCCACGUAAAGGUAGACGAAUCGACAUAUGGUUGCUGCAUUCAUUUCUAGCUCGGAAUGCUUACAAUGCUCUUUUUGUGGGACAAAAUUAUGAAGUUCGAUAUACCGUUUUGAGUAAACGUUUAUUUACUCAAAGUUGAUUGUUUCAUUUUGACUCAAAAUAAUUAUUUACUCAAAACACAAGGUAAUCGUUAAAAUGUUAUAUUAUUUAAACAACUUGGAGUAUAGAAUAACACUAUCAUUUACAAUUAUUAUGCACAGACACAGUCAUUUUGCUUUGAUUCUUAUUAAUUUUAUAAAAUGAAAAAGUCUAGGCAACGUUUUUUUCUUCAUUUCGUGUUCUGUGCAAUCUACCUAUUUUAUAUACAAUCUAAAAAUACACGAUGCUACAUUUAACUUCUUGAAUUUAAAGUUGCAAUUCUGUAUAGUUAAAAGAACACAUAUUACUUGAAUUAUUGUGGAUUAUUUUUCAAUUUGUUUUGUGACAAAAAUGAUUAUAGUAUAAUCGACAAAUUAUGGAUCACAGAGUAGAAACACCUGCAACUCUGAAUAUAUAAUGUCCGAAGCUAAAUGCAAUUGUUAAGUGAAGUUAUACAUUUUAUGUAAUACAAAGUCUCCUCUGUAUAAGCAAAUGUGAUUCUGUGUUUCUUCUAAUAUAAAGAAUCCUAUGCUAGGCCUUGCAUUCUAUUGUUGAUGAUGUAUUGCAUGGCCCUUAUGUUGCUUCUUCAAUUUAAAAACAAGAUAUAAUUCGUUUUCAACAAUUAAAUUUUCAUUUAAAAGCUUGAUAGAUUCUCCAUGCACUAAUGCUAAUGGCUGUCAGCGUAACAGUCGCAUGAAGAAUUCGUCUCCUCGUAUCAUCCUUUCUUACAAGAAACGUUGGCGACGAUGGACCUAAGAUAGCUAACACUUCUACAUGUGGUAGCUUACUUGUGUCAGUUUCUACUUGGUAUUGACAGCAUGGAUCAAACUGCCAUGACAAAGUGUAAAGUCCACAAGUUAUAAGUGAUACAAAACCUAAUGUGCCACAAAUAUAAGGUCGAUCGCCCCAUAUAAGACCUACGAAUAUUAGAAACCGAUAAUUAAAUCAACAACGUAUUAAUUACAAUCACGAUUUAAGGACAUUAACAAACCUGUUGUGAUAGCUGUUAAGCCAGAUAACGUUGCAGUUUUAUGAAGACAAUUACCAACCGUUAUCCAUCUGGAAGUUUCAUCUCCCAAUUUCGAUGGUUCAAUUAUGAUUAAAGUACAUUCGGACUCAAGGGCUCUUUCUAACUCGUACUCAAAAGUUUCAUGAGCAUUUUCACUGUCAUAUACUUCUCUAAUAAUUGCAACUUUUGAGUUAUCAUCCCUGUAAUGACGAAAGUGUUAUAAUAUGAUGGAACGAUACUUGAACGUUAUUUCCUCCUCAUUUGUGCCUCGAUAUAAGUAAAAAUUGAAUGAAAAGCGUAUGAGAAUAGAUUGGAAAGACGUAAAAGACGAUCCAUUUGUCAUGGAUCAAAAGACAUUAAAUCAAACAGCAAAUAAAAUUCUUUUGCAACAUAAUUGCACAUAUAAAAGCAAUAUAAUUUUAAACUUUUGAUAUGUAAUUUAUAAAAGGACUCAUUAAAACUUGAUAUCUCAUAUGUUACAUUUUAA
This is a long non-coding RNA of Vespa mandarinia (Asian giant hornet), 2932 nucleotides long. NCBI's taxonomy places the organism in Eukaryota, Metazoa, Arthropoda, Insecta, Hymenoptera, Vespidae. The record is from RefSeq and is a predicted model, not a curated record.